Molecule: ribosomal RNA, 253 nt
Filed under: uncultured bacterium
Lineage: Bacteria
Description: partial 16S ribosomal RNA
Rfam family: Bacterial small subunit ribosomal RNA
Source: RNAcentral
UACGGAGGGUGCGAGCGUUAUCCGGAAUCACUGGGUUUAAAGGGAGCGUAGGCGGCUCGGUAAGUCAGUUGUGAAAGCCCCUUGCUUAACGAGGGAGGUGCGAUUGAUACUGUCGAGUUUGAAUCGGGAUGAGGCAGUCGGAAUUUGGCAUGUAGCGGUGAAGUGCAUAGCUAUGCCAUAUAACACCGAUUGCGAAGGCAGCCUGCUGGGCCUGUAUUGACGCUGAGGCACGAAAGCGUGGGGAGCAAACAGG